Molecule: ribosomal RNA, 374 nt
Filed under: uncultured organism
Description: partial 16S ribosomal RNA
Rfam family: Bacterial small subunit ribosomal RNA
Source: RNAcentral
GUAGGUGGCAAGCGUUGUCCGGAAUUAUUGGGCGUAAAGCGCGCGCAGGUGGUUCUUUAAGUCUGAUGUGAAAGCCCCCGGGCUCAACCGGGGAGGGUCAUUGGAAACUGGGGAACUUGAGUGCGGGAGAGGAAAGUGGAAUUCCACGUGUAGCGGUGAAAUGCGUAGAUAUGUGGAGGAACACCAGUGGCGAAGGCGACUUUCUGGCCUGUAACUGACACUGAGGCGCGAAAGCGUGGGGAGCAAACAGGAUUAGAUACCCUGGUAGUCCACGCCGUAAACGAUGAGUGCUAAGUGUUGGGGGGUUUCCGCCCCUCAGUGCUGCAGCUAACGCAUUAAGCACUCCGCCUGGGGAGUACGGUCGCAAAGACUGA